GGGGGUGUUCCGGUUUCGAUUUUGUAAAUGGAAUAAAAACGGCAUGUCGGAGAAGAUGGUUGGCUUCGUUAUCAAUCCAUCGCAACAAUAAGUGAAAACAAUGUUGUAAAAUUCCCAGGCGCAUCCUUACGGAUGGCUGCCUAGGCCUUAAUGAAUUGUAAGUUAUACAGUUCUGCUUUUAAAAUCCAUGCUCGCUAGAUUUUAAAAGCUGUCUCAGCGAGUAUAGCAAAGAAGCGUUGCAGGUCUGUGCUGUAUUUUUUGCAACUUACACUGCAAAACAGGUAUCUAUGGCAUUGCAGUGGACAUUAAUGAGAUACUAUACAUGUAGAAGUUUUUGUGGCAUGUGCAAAAGACGCGAGUUCAAUUCUCGCCACCUCCACCA
Molecule: transfer-messenger RNA, 382 nt
Filed under: Opitutales
Lineage: Bacteria; Pseudomonadati; Verrucomicrobiota; Opitutia
Also listed under: 2 other names
Description: UBA3869 sp002392285 Standard tmRNA
Rfam family: transfer-messenger RNA
About the family: Bacterial tmRNA, also known as 10Sa RNA or SsrA, is named for its dual tRNA and mRNA-like properties. Its role is to liberate the mRNA from a stalled ribosome. To accomplish this part of the tmRNA is used as a reading frame that ends in a translation stop signal.
Source: RNAcentral